This 211-nucleotide unclassified non-coding RNA is filed under the name Hevea brasiliensis (rubber tree). The record is from RNAcentral. Lineage: Eukaryota; Viridiplantae; Streptophyta; Magnoliopsida; Malpighiales; Euphorbiaceae.
GAUUGUGUUCACAAAAGCCAAUUUAAAGUCUCUGAGAAAGGAAAUAAAUAAUUAGAAUAAACGCAUCUAUCAGGGGAUUGGCCCCGAAUCAAGGCUGGCAUCAAAUUUACUGUUUCAUUGUGCAUACUGAAUACUGGUAACUCGGACAUGGUGAAGAAAAAAGCUUGAUUCAAAGUUGAAACUAUGCAAUUGAUGAGGAUAUAAGUUUACA